CCCUUAGAUGUUCUGGGCCGCACGCGCGCUACACUGAAUGGAUCAGCGUGUUUUCCCUUCCCGAGAGGGACGGGUAACCCGCUGAACCCCAUUCGUGGUAGGGAUCGGAGCUUGCAAUUGUUCUCCGUGAACCAGGAAUUCCCAGUAAGCGCAAGUCAUAAGCUUGCGUUGAUUACGUCCCUGCCCUUUGUACACACCGCCCGUCGCUACUACCGAUUGAACGUUUUAGUGAGGUAUUUGGACUGGACCUUUGAAGGUUAAUUCCUUCAUUGUCGUUCGGGAAGACUCCCAAACUUGAGCGUUUAGAGGAAGUAAAAGUCGUAACA
Molecule: ribosomal RNA, 326 nt
Filed under: uncultured eukaryote
Lineage: Eukaryota
Description: partial 18S ribosomal RNA
Rfam family: Eukaryotic small subunit ribosomal RNA
Source: RNAcentral